Molecule: long non-coding RNA, 796 nt
Filed under: Bos taurus (domestic cattle)
Lineage: Eukaryota; Metazoa; Chordata; Mammalia; Artiodactyla; Bovidae
Description: long non-coding RNA NONBTAT006028
Source: RNAcentral
CUUGAGUGUGUGUUAGCCUGCCCCAUAUUGGGGUGACGUCCGUGCGUCCAUAAUGUGAUGAUCAGUCGGGCCACAGGCAAUAGGAAAUGGGCUACUCAACCUAAAGAAAGAGAAAGUUUGAAGCUUUCUACAUGUAUAACACAAUCAUUUAAAAAUGUCAGAUUUUGUAAAAACUCCAUUCAAAAAAAUAGCAAAAAAAGCAAUUUAAUUAAAUGCCCUUUUUGUAUGCCAUAAAGCUCGUCUAGGCUGUGCUUAUGUGUAUGUAAAGGAAAAGGUGCACAAUGAGAUAUGUGUGGGUAUAUGUCUCCUUGUAUCACACACACACACACACGUGUAUAUAUAAUAAAAUGCUAAACAAAUUCUAUAGAAGAAUAUAUUUCAAGUAAAUAUAUUAAUAUACUUUAAAUUUACAUUGUAAAUUGCACGCUAAAUUAAAAUUUAUGAUAAUACCAUGUUGAGUUUAUUUUUGAUACUACUGGAAAACAAAACCCACAGGCCUAAAUUGCUACUUAACAUGACUAGUAGAGAAGCCACCUAUUACAAAAGUAUUACUUUGAUUUUCCUCAGUUAGCAAAUAACAUUUAACAUAUUUUUUCACUGUGCAAUGAUUAGACACUGAAAUUUGUUAUAACUUGGACUCCUUGAAUGAGAAAACUUAGAAAUAAACAAAAAUAUUCAGAUUAAUCUCUACUUCUCGUGUAAUUUAGAUUUAGAUGCAUGAGAUUUUCUCCUUAAAUCCUAGUUUAUACUAGAGCCAUUUUAACAGCAGAAAGCUUGAUUAUGUGUUAAUCUCUCC